CAGCCGCCGCGGUAAUACCGGCGGCCCGAGUGGCGGUCACUAUUAUUGGGCUUAAAGCGUCCGUAGCCGGGUUGGGAAGUCCUCCGGGAAAUCUGGCCGCUUAACGGUCAGAAUGCCGGAGGAUACUCCCAGCCUAGGGAGCGGGAGAGGCCGAGGGUAUUCCCGGAGUAGGGGUGAAAUCCUAUAAUCCCGGGAGGACCACCUGUGGCGAAGGCGCUCGGCUGGAACGCGUCCGACGGUGAGGGACGAAGGCCAGGGGAGCAAACCGGAGUAGAUACCCGGGUAGUCCUGGCUGUAAACGAUGCGGACUUUGUGUCGGACAAGCUAUGAGCUUGUCCGGUGCCGGAGGGAAACCGUUAAGUCCGCCGCCUGGGGAGUACGGCCGCAAGGCUGAAACUUAAAGGAAUUGGCGGG
Molecule: ribosomal RNA, 414 nt
Filed under: uncultured microorganism
Description: bacterial SSU rRNA
Rfam family: Archaeal small subunit ribosomal RNA
Source: RNAcentral